AUUCCGCUGAAUUUAAGCAUAUAAGUAAGUGGUGGAAAUUAAACCAACUGGGAUCUCUUCAGUAAUUGCGCAUGAACCAGGAUAUGCUUAGCUUGACAAAUGGAGCUGCUGGCUCUGAAUUGUAUUGUGGGAAUGUAUUACCAACAGAGGUGCAGGUGUCAGCCAUUUGAAAGAAAGCAUCAAUGAGGGUGAGAGUCCUGUUUGUCAUGUGCAGCCUUCUGUGCACGGUGUAUAUUUGCUGAGUCACACUCCUUGGCAUUGGAAUGCAAAGUGGGUGGUAAGUUUCAUGCAAAGGUAAAUAUGCAAUUGAGACUGAUAGCGCACAAGUACCAUGAGGGACAUAUGAAAAGGACUUUGAAAAGAGAAUUAAAUGAGUUUGUAUUUGCUAAACACAAAGUAAACAGACUUGAUUUCCUCAGUGAGAUUGUAGUGCUUGCUUAACAAUGGGUUUUGGCUGCAAGUGCAAUAAUUCUUGCUUUGUGUGCCAGUUUUUAUGUGGACAUUUGAUUACCUUUGCACAUGAAUGGUAAUUUUCCUGCGGGGUGUGGAUUGCAUAUGCAUGUAAUGAUUUGCAUGUUUGUUAAAUGUGUCUGGUGUAUUUGUUUGUGUCCUUGUCCUUGAGGUUGCUUUCUCCCUUGGGCUUACAUGCCCUGGCACACACAUUCUGGCAAAAUGCUUCUGCUUGACCCGUCUUGAAAAU
This 700-nucleotide ribosomal RNA is filed under the name Alexandrium tamarense. Its description in RNAcentral is "LSU rRNA". It matches the Rfam family "Eukaryotic large subunit ribosomal RNA", at positions 24 to 661 of the family's 3401-position model. Lineage: Eukaryota; Dinophyceae; Gonyaulacales; Pyrocystaceae. The record is from RNAcentral.